AGAACCGCAGCGAAAUGCGAUAAGUAAUGUGAAUUGCAGAAUUCAGUGAAUCAUCGAAUCUUUGAACGCNCAUUGCGCCCAUUAGUAUUCUAGUGGGCAUGCCUGUUCGAGCGUCAU
RNAcentral lists this ribosomal RNA (117 nucleotides) under Xylaria sp. 15 RV-2015. RNAcentral describes it as "partial 5.8S ribosomal RNA". It matches the Rfam family "5.8S ribosomal RNA", at positions 40 to 154 of the family's 154-position model. From Rfam's summary of the family: 5.8S ribosomal RNA (5.8S rRNA) is a component of the large subunit of the eukaryotic ribosome. The record is from RNAcentral. Lineage: Eukaryota; Fungi; Ascomycota; Sordariomycetes; Xylariales; Xylariaceae.